This 387-nucleotide ribosomal RNA is filed under the name uncultured bacterium. RNAcentral describes it as "bacterial SSU rRNA". It matches the Rfam family "Bacterial small subunit ribosomal RNA", at positions 27 to 416 of the family's 1533-position model. The record is from RNAcentral.
GGACGAACGCUGGCGGCGUGCUUAACACAUGCAAGUCGAGCGGUAAGGCCCUUUCGGGGGUACACGAGCGGCGAACGGGUGAGUAACACGUGGGUGACCUGCCCUCAGCUCUGGGAUAAGCCUGGGAAACCGGGUCUAAUACUGGAUAUGACUCCAUGACGCAUGUUGUGGGGUGGAAAGCCUUGUGCGGCUGAGGAUGGGCCCGCGGCCUAUCAGCUUGUUGGUGGGGUGAGGCCUACCAAGGCGACGACGGGUAGCCGGCCUGAGAGGGCGACCGGCCACACUGGGACUGAGACACGGCCCAGACUCCUACGGGAGGCAGCAGUGGGGAAUCUUGCGCAAUGGGCGAAAGCCUGACGCAGCGACGCCGCGUGAGGGAUGACGGCC